CUCUAUCUCUUUAGUGUCACCAUUUUCUUGAUGCAUCAAGCUUAGGAGAUACUGAGGUCAUCAAUGAGUCUUGCAUUCAAGCUUGCUGUCUUUCAAAAUUAGGACACUGUACAUAAACUUGCAUUUUUGUGUUCUUUUUAUAAUGUUGUAAUUGUUUUUGUUACCUAAAAUAAUUAUUCUUUAAUACUAUAAUGCGAUAGCAGUCCAUGAACUGAUGCCACAAUGCUAGAAAAGCCAAAAGCUGUCUAGGCAAAGUUGUUCUUCAUUUGAUCCAGGGAUGAGAAAUUUACCUAUUGGCUCAUUGUAGUUGGAUAAUGGUAAUAUUUUUUUAAAGUCUGUUAGCAGUGCAAUUCCGAUUGUUGUCUGGUAUCAGCAGGUAGGUAUGCAAAUUUACUUUUUUUGAAAAAUAAAAGUACUAAAUUUGAAUGAACAACUACAGAGAUAAUCAGCUAAACAUACUUUCUGCAUACUUAAUAAGGGGGUGGGACUGAAGGUUUUCAGCUGGAAACUCCAAGGUUUUACAUCAAAAGUCCAAAAAA
Molecule: long non-coding RNA, 539 nt
Organism: Amphimedon queenslandica
Lineage: Eukaryota; Metazoa; Porifera; Demospongiae; Haplosclerida; Niphatidae
Exons: 2
Source: RefSeq, a predicted model, not a curated record